RNAcentral lists this long non-coding RNA (1536 nucleotides) under Olea europaea subsp. europaea. The record is from RNAcentral. Lineage: Eukaryota; Viridiplantae; Streptophyta; Magnoliopsida; Lamiales; Oleaceae.
CCCUUACGCCCUCACCCAAAGCCAAAACAACCCCCUCGCAGCGGUCGGCCGCCACCUCCGGCACCAUGACCUCAACGUCGGCCCAAAUGCCGCCUCAAAAUGAGGUACCGGCACCACCACCUUAAAACCAACAGCUUCUUCGUGCACAAAAGCCUACUUUAGUCUUGGCCCACGAAAGCUUUCGGUGUCGGUUUUGGGGAGAGUGCACAAUGGGAGCUUCAAUUCAGUGUGUCUUCACAAAAUCGCCUUUAGCAAUGCUUCUUCUUUCCAUUUUGUACAGUAGAUCAGCGUGAAAGGGAGCAGCGUUGCGAUCGUUUUUUCGUUUAUAAAAGGUAACAUCCUGUUUACAUUUGUGAAAUAUAAUUUGUAUAUGAUUGUGUUAGUUAAAUUCUAUCAGUUGGUAAUAGAGAUAGACCCAAUCAUGUUGAAAUUAAUAAUUUCUUCUCCAUUUUCAUUUUUUAUUUUUGGAUUUUUCAUGGGUUUAAAAGCAAGAACCCUGAUUUUGAAAUCUGAUUUUUAUUACAUAAAUGGACUGAAGGUUUUGAAACUUGCUAAUGGCUCGUUUAGCUACUUCUUGAAGUUUUGAAAUCUGCUAAUGGUUUUGAAAUCUUAUUUUGAAAACACUGAUUUUGAAAUUUGCUAAUGGCUCGUUUAGCUACUUCUUGAAGGUUUUGAAAGUGGUUGGAAUUGGGAGUUUUUUUCUUGCGCGUGAGGGAGCUGCUAAUUUUGAGGUGGUGAUAGUGUUCGGUUUUCAGGAGAUGUUGGGGCCGACUUUGAGGUGGUGGUGCCGGAGGUGGCAGCUAACGGUUGGGUGGAAGUUCUUUUGGUUUUGGGAUGAGGGGGUUGGGAAGAAGGAGAUGGGAGCGUUUGUUGUGGUUCUUAUUUGGGGAAAAUUAUUAGAUUUUUAAAUUUUUGGAAUCGAUUGACGGUUUUUAUAGUCAAACUGACGAAAAUCGUCAUUUUGGACUUAGGCUGCGAAGUUUUUAAAGAUUUGGUACAUAAGAUGACACAAAUGAAAGAUUUAGAUCAAAUUUGCUAAUAUAUGAGGUUUGGCAUCUUGUUGCAAUUCUCCCAAAAAGUAAAUGUCUUUAGUUAAAAAAAAAAAAAAAAAAAAAAAAGGUUGAACUCCAACUUUGAGGGCUCUUAUCGUCCCGUCCCUAGAACUUUGUGAGGGAGGUAAAUCGCGGGAUAUACCCCAACAGGAUAGGGAAUAAAAGCUGUCUGUACACGCAUCUACAAGGAGUCCAAUUCCAUAUUUCAGAAAUCGAAUUCUCAUACUGUUACUGUCAACAACGUGUGAGAUAACAUCACUUCUGUCCUUUGCACCAACGAGCUAUGCCCCGAGGGACGUAAAUGUCUUUAGUUGUCUUCACUGUGAAGUGGGUUCGAGAUUGAGUUGAAAGGACGUAUUAGAUACAUCCAAUUCCAAGAAAAUUAAACAACACUCUCCCCAAAUUUAUUAAAAAUAAAUAUGAAAAUUAUUAUUUGCUAUAGAUUCUUUUCAAGAUGAAAUCGUGGCAUGUUGAUUAAUGCUAU